GACGAACGCUGGCGGCGUGCUUAACACAUGCAAGUCGAACGGAAAGGCCCUGCUUUUGCUGCGUGCUCGAGUGGCGAACGGGGGAGUAAAACGUGAGUAACCUGCCCUUGACUUUGGGAUAACUUCAGGGAACUGGGGCUCAUACCGGAUAGGAGCUCCUGCUCCAUGGGGUGGGUUGGAAAGAUUCGGCGGUUGGGGAUGGACUCGCGGCUUAUCAGCUUGUUGGUGGGGUAGUUGCUUACCAAGGCUUUGACGGGUAGCCGGCCUGAGAGGGUGACCGGCCACCUUGGGCCUGCGGUACGGCCCAGACUGCUACGUGAGGCAGCAGGGGGAAAUAUUGCACAAUGGGCGGAAGUCUGAUGCAGCGACGCCGCGAUCGUGAUGAUCGCCUUCGGGUGGUAAACCGCCUUCGCCUGUGACGAAGCGUGAGUGACGGUAAUGGGUAAAGAAGCCCCGGCUAACUACGUG
Molecule: ribosomal RNA, 468 nt
Filed under: uncultured bacterium
Lineage: Bacteria
Description: partial 16S ribosomal RNA
Rfam family: Bacterial small subunit ribosomal RNA
Source: RNAcentral